CUUGUCAUUUAGAGGAAGUAAAAGUCGUAACAAGGUUUCCGUAGGUGAACCUGCGGAAGGAUCAUUCAUAAUAAGUGUUUAUGGCACUUUUAAAUCCAUAUCCACCUUGUGUGCAAUGUCAGUCGAUCUUCUUCAUGGAGAUCGACCAAACAUCAACCUUUAUUUUUUAACUCUUUGUCUGAAAAAUAUUAUGAAUAAACAAUUCAAAAUACAACUUUCAACAACGGAUCUCUUGGCUCUCGCAUCGAUGAAGAACGCAGCGAAAUGCGAUACGUAAUGUGAAUUGCAGAAUUCAGUGAAUCAUCGAAUCUUUGAACGCAUAUUGCGCUCUUUGGUAUUCCGAAGAGCAUGCUUGUUUGAGUAUCAGUAAACACCUCAAAGCUUUUGGAUUUUUUAAUCGAAAAGCUUUGGACUUGAGCAAUCCCAACACCAAUCUUUUUGAGAUCGGUGGCGGGUUGCUUGAAAUGCAGGUGCAGCUGGACAUUCUCCUGAGCUAAAAGCAUAUUCAUUUAGUCCCGUCAAACGGAUUAUUACUUUUGCUGCAGCUAACAUAAAGGGAGUUUGACCGUAUUGGCUGACUGAUGCAGGAUUUCACAAGGGUCGGCAACGAUUCUUGUUAAACUCGAUCUCAAAUCAAGUAAGACUACCCGCUGAACUUAAGCAUAUCAAUAAGCGGAGGAAAAGAAACUAACAAGGAUUCCCCUAGUAACGGCGAGUGAAGCGGGAUGAGCUCAAAUUUAAAAUCUGGCUGGUUUACUAGUCCGAAUUGUAGUUUAUAGAAGCGUUUUCGGUGGCAGCCUGGGUAUAAAUCCUUUGGAAUAGGGUAUCAUAGAGGGUGAGAAUCCCGUCUUUGACUCAGUGCAUGCUACUAUGUGAUACGUUUUCAAAGAGUCGAGUUGUUUGGGAAU
Molecule: small RNA, 908 nt
Filed under: uncultured zygomycete
Lineage: Eukaryota; Fungi
Description: eukaryotic LSU rRNA
Rfam family: Eukaryotic large subunit ribosomal RNA (bases 624-908)
Source: RNAcentral